UACCGCUGGCGGCGUGCCUAUACAUGCAAGUCGAGCGGACAGAAGGGAGCUUGCUCCCGGAUGUUAGCGGCGGACGGGUGAGUAACACGUGGGUAACCUGCCUGUAAGACUGGGAUAACUCCGGGAAACCGGAGCUAAUACCGGAUAGUUCCUUGAACCGCAUGGUUCAAGGAUGAAAGACGGUUUCGGCUGUCACUUACAGAUGGACCCGCGGCGCAUUAGCUAGUUGGUGGGGUAAUGGCUCACCAAGGCGACGAUGCGUAGCCGACCUGAGAGGGUGAUCGGCCACACUGGGACUGAGACACGGCCCAGACUCCUACGGGAGGCAGCAGUAGGGAAUCUUCCGCAAUGGACGAAAGUCUGACGGAGCAACGCCGCGUGAGUGAUGAAGGUUUUCGGAUCGUAAAGCUCUGUUGUUAGGGAAGAACAAGUGCAAAAGUAACUGCUCGCACCUUGACGGUACCUAACCAGAAAGCCACGGCUAACUACGUGCCACCAGCCGCGGUAAUACGUAGGUGGCAAGCGUUGUCCGAAAUUAUUGGGCGUAAAGGGUUCGGAGGCGGUUUCUUAAGUCUGAUGUGAAAGCCCCCGGCUCAACCGGGCACGCUCAGUGGAGACUGUGAAGCUUGAGUGC
Molecule: ribosomal RNA, 634 nt
Filed under: Bacillus sp. (in: firmicutes)
Lineage: Bacteria; Bacillati; Bacillota; Bacilli; Caryophanales; Bacillaceae
Description: bacterial SSU rRNA
Rfam family: Bacterial small subunit ribosomal RNA
Source: RNAcentral